RNAcentral lists this ribosomal RNA (497 nucleotides) under uncultured bacterium. RNAcentral describes it as "partial 16S ribosomal RNA". It matches the Rfam family "Bacterial small subunit ribosomal RNA", at positions 28 to 507 of the family's 1533-position model. The record is from RNAcentral.
GAUGAACGCUGGCGGCGUGCCUAAUACAUGCAAGUCGAGCGAACAGACGAGGAGCUUGCUCCUCUGACGUUAGCGGCGGACGGGUGAGUAACACGUGGAUAACCUACCUAUAAGACUGGGAUAACUUCGGGAAACCGGAGCUAAUACCGGAUAAUAUAUUGAACCGCAUGGUUCAAUAGUGAAAGACGGUUUUGCUGUCACUUAUAGAUGGAUCCGCGCCGCAUUAGCUAGUUGGUAAGGUAACGGCUUACCAAGGCAACGAUGCGUAGCCGACCUGAGAGGGGGAUCGGCCACACUGGAACUGAGACACGGUCCAGACUCCUACGGGAGGCAGCAGUCGGGAAUCUGCCGCAAUGGGCGAAAGCCUGACGGAGCAACGCCGCGUGAGUGAUGAAGGUCUUCGGAUCGUAAAACUCUGUUAUUAGGGAAGAACAAAUGUGUAAGUAACUAUGCACGUCUUGACGGUACCUAAUCAGAAAGCCACGGCUAACUACGUG